UAGCUUCUCUCUCACUGUGAUUGCUCCACUGCACCUUUACAAAAGGAAUCGUGCGCCUCCUCAAAACUUGGUCCUUUCUAUUUACCACACGUAUUAAGUUCUUUUGAUCUCCUUCAAAAGAAUUCCAAAUUCCCAACCUUGGAUUAAACUGUCAUAAUUAUAUCCCAAAGAAAUUAAUUUCUCUUAAUUCUACCCAGAGAUCAUAAUUGGCUUAAUAGAUAUAGGAGAAAUCUUUAGUAUCAAAUCCUCUUAAUAUUCUAUAAUCAUUUUUCUUU
Molecule: long non-coding RNA, 275 nt
Filed under: Phoenix dactylifera (date palm)
Lineage: Eukaryota; Viridiplantae; Streptophyta; Magnoliopsida; Arecales; Arecaceae
Description: long non-coding RNA (PDAC_LNC019975)
Source: RNAcentral